CAACAAUUGUGGUAAUAAAACCAGAUACCAACUCUUAUCUCAGAACUCUACAGGUAGACAUGUGGGAAGCAGAAAUUCAUCCUCAGCAUACAGUGAGUUUCAAGUUGGCCUGACCCAGAAGAAC
Molecule: long non-coding RNA, 124 nt
Organism: Mus musculus (house mouse)
Lineage: Eukaryota; Metazoa; Chordata; Mammalia; Rodentia; Muridae
Product: predicted gene, 53830
Exons: 2
Source: RefSeq, a predicted model, not a curated record